UACGUAGGCAGCGAGCGUUGUUCGGAGUUACUGGGCGUAAAGGGUGUGUAGGCGGUUGUUUAAGUUUGGUGUGAAAUCUCCCGCUCAACUGGGAGGGUGCGCCGAAUACUGAAUGACUUGGAGUGCGGGAGAGGUGAGUGGAAUUCCUGGUGUAGCGGUGAAAUGCGUAGAGAUGUGGAGGAACACCGAUGGCGAAGGCAGCCUCCUGGGCCAGCACUGACGCUCAUGCACGAAAGCGUGGGGAGCAAACAGG
This 253-nucleotide ribosomal RNA is filed under the name uncultured bacterium. RNAcentral's name for it is "partial 16S ribosomal RNA". It matches the Rfam family "Bacterial small subunit ribosomal RNA", at positions 524 to 776 of the family's 1533-position model. The record is from RNAcentral.